AUCCAGCUGACAAGUCCCAAGUGGAACGAAACACGCGUCAAACUGGAU
Molecule: non-coding RNA, 48 nt
Organism: Schistosoma rodhaini
Lineage: Eukaryota; Metazoa; Platyhelminthes; Trematoda; Strigeidida; Schistosomatidae
Source: Rfam